UGAUGAUAGAGGACUACCUAAAUCCAAUUCUUCCAUGCGUACUUGUGGAGAAUCUCCUACAACUACAAGUUCAGAUUCAUUCUUAGAUCCUAUAGAUAAUGUGUUCAGCUCUCAAAUGGAUGUGCAGUGUGGAGGGUUUUUUUCUUCUAGUAUGCUUGAAUUUGAUGAUGUUCUAGGGAGCUAUGAUGAUUUAUAAAUUGAUAUCUGAUGCAUUUCAUAAGCAUAUAGUUAGGAUUUCCGCUUGAAGAUUAUCACAAUUCUAAUGUAUGUUGGGAAAUUGUUUGUCAGAAUUGAACAGUCAUAAAAUUGGAAAAGAUUUUUGUCUUUUGUGCGUCAUGGAGAGAUAAAAUUGGCGUCACUCAAACAAAGGGCACUUAAGAAAGGUCACCACUUUUUAGUCAUUAAUUAAAAGUAUAUUCUUAUUUAUUAAAAAGUAAAAUAAAGCCGGAUUUUGGAACAUACAAAUGAAACCUUUUUGUAAUAAGCAUGUACACA
This 495-nucleotide long non-coding RNA is filed under the name Olea europaea (common olive). Its description in RNAcentral is "long non-coding RNA (OEUR_LNC001121)". The record is from RNAcentral. Lineage: Eukaryota; Viridiplantae; Streptophyta; Magnoliopsida; Lamiales; Oleaceae.